Molecule: ribosomal RNA, 487 nt
Filed under: uncultured bacterium
Lineage: Bacteria
Description: partial 16S ribosomal RNA
Rfam family: Bacterial small subunit ribosomal RNA
Source: RNAcentral
GAUGAACGCUAGCGAUAGGCUUAACACAUGCAAGUCGAGGGGCAGCACAAGGUAGCUUGCUAUCUGGGUGGCGACCGGCGCACGGGUGCGUAACGCGUAUGCAACUUGCCCUAUACAGGAGGAUAACCCGUCGAAAGACGGACUAAUACUGCGUAUGCUCACAACUUGGCAUCAAGUGGUGAGGAAAGAAAUUCGGUAUAGGAUAGGCAUGCGUCCCAUUAGCUUGUUGGUGAGGUAACGGCUCACCAAGGCAACGAUGGGUAGGGGAACUGAGAGGUUUAUCCCCCACACUGGGACUGAGACACGGACCAGACUCCUACGGGAGGCAGCAGUGAGGAAUAUUGGUCAAUGGGCGCGAGCCUGAACCAGCCAAGUCGCGUGAAGGAGGACUGUCUUAUGGAUUGUAAACUUCUUUUAUACGGGAAUAACAAGAGUCACGUGUGACUCCCUGCAUGUACCGUAUGAAUAAGCAUCGGCUAACUCCGUG